RNAcentral lists this non-coding RNA (29 nucleotides) under Mus musculus (house mouse). The record is from RNAcentral. Lineage: Eukaryota; Metazoa; Chordata; Mammalia; Rodentia; Muridae.
UAUGAACCUGCAGAAGUGAUAAUAUGCAC